Molecule: ribosomal RNA, 253 nt
Filed under: uncultured bacterium
Lineage: Bacteria
Description: partial 16S ribosomal RNA
Rfam family: Bacterial small subunit ribosomal RNA
Source: RNAcentral
UACGUAGGGUGCGAGCGUUGUCCGGAAUUAUUGGGCGUAAAGGGCUCGUAGGCGGUUUGUCGCGUCGGGAGUGAAAACACCGGGCUUAACUCGGUGCUUGCUUUCGAUACGGGCAGACUAGAGGCAUGCAGGGGAGAACGGAAUUCCUGGUGUAGCGGUGAAAUGCGUAGAUAUCUGGAGGAACACCGGUGGCGAAGGCGGCAUCCUGGACCAUUACUGACACUGAAAAGCGAAAGCCAGGGGAGCAAACGGG